UUUGAGGGUACAUAGAAGAUCCGAGUAGCAUCUUGGCGGGGCAAUAUCCAGGUUGCAUAGUUCUCACUUUGCAACCGUGUGUUGCAGCCAUGGCUUUACCCGUAGUUGUGUUCAUCUCUCAAUUACAUGUCUGAGUCUUCCAGUUGUAAAAGUAUUAUCACAGAUUCACAGAUCUAAAAGUACAUGUCUGAAAGACAGCUUGCUUGCUGCAGUCUCUAUAAACUGAGCUUUGUUCUUAAUAUGUCUGAACUGAAACUGUUAAGGCUAUGAUGCAUAAGCUGAGCCUGUGAGGUUACAUAUGUGUUUCUUGUGCUUAAAACACUUGUACAUCAUGCUUUAAAGGUUGUUUAAGUUUAGUGGAAAAUUACUCUUGUACAUCAUGCUUUAAAGCGGGGUUACAUAACACAAUAGACUGUGAUGAUGAUUGUAUUUUGAGGGUACAUAGAAGAUCCGAGUAGCAUCUUGGCGGGGC
This 472-nucleotide long non-coding RNA is filed under the name Helianthus annuus (common sunflower). RNAcentral describes it as "sRNA HanXRQr2_Chr17g0804261". Lineage: Eukaryota; Viridiplantae; Streptophyta; Magnoliopsida; Asterales; Asteraceae. The record is from RNAcentral.